This 419-nucleotide ribosomal RNA is filed under the name Stenotrophomonas maltophilia. RNAcentral's name for it is "bacterial SSU rRNA". It matches the Rfam family "Bacterial small subunit ribosomal RNA", at positions 29 to 443 of the family's 1533-position model. Lineage: Bacteria; Pseudomonadati; Pseudomonadota; Gammaproteobacteria; Lysobacterales; Lysobacteraceae. The record is from RNAcentral.
AGUGAACGCUGGCGGUAGGCCUAACACAUGCAAGUCGAACGGCAGCACAGAGGAGCUUGCUCCUUGGGUGGCGAGUGGCGGACGGGUGAGGAAUACAUCGGAAUCUACUCUGUCGUGGGGGAUAACGUAGGGAAACUUACGCUAAUACCGCAUACGACCUACGGGUGAAAGCAGGGGAUCUUCGGACCUUGCGCGAUUGAAUGAGCCGAUGUCGGAUUAGCUAGUUGGCGGGGUAAAGGCCCACCAAGGCGACGAUCCGUAGCUGGUCUGAGAGGAUGAUCAGCCACACUGGAACUGGGACACGGUCCAGACUCCUACGGGAGGCAGCAGUGGGGAAUAUUGGACAAUGGGCGCAGGCCUGAUCCAGCCAUACCGCGUGGGUGAAGAAGGCCUUCGGGUUGUAAAGCCCUUUUGUUGGG